This 520-nucleotide ribosomal RNA is filed under the name uncultured Glomus. Its description in RNAcentral is "SSU rRNA". It matches the Rfam family "Eukaryotic small subunit ribosomal RNA", at positions 569 to 1092 of the family's 1831-position model. Lineage: Eukaryota; Fungi; Glomeromycota; Glomeromycetes; Glomerales; Glomeraceae. The record is from RNAcentral.
AGCAGCCGCGGUAAUUCCAGCUCCAAUAGCGUAUAUUAAAGUUGUUGCAGUUAAAAAGCUCGUAGUUGAAUUUCGGGAUCAAUACGUCGGUCGUGCUUCGGUACGUACUAACGUCAUUGGUUUCUCCCUUCUGACGAACCAUGAUGCCAUUAAUUUGGUGUUAUGGGAAAUCAGGACUGUUACUUUGAAAAAAUUAGAGUGUUUAAAGCAGGCUCACGCUUGAAUACAUUAGCAUGGAAUAAUGAAAUAGGACGUUCGACCCUAUUUUGUGGUUUCUAGGAUCAACGUAAUGAUUAAUAGGGAUAGUUGGGGGCAUUAGUAUUCAAUUGUCAGAGGUGAAAUUCUUGGAUUUAUUGAAGACUAACUACUGCGAAAGCAUUUGCCAAGGAUGUUUUCAUUAAUCAAGAACGAAAGUUAGGGGAUCGAAGACGAUCAGAUACCGUCGUAGUCUUAACCAUAAACUAUGCCGACUAGGGAUCGGAUGAUGUUAAUUUUUUAAUGACUCAUUCGGCGCCUUACG